This 544-nucleotide ribosomal RNA is filed under the name uncultured bacterium. RNAcentral's name for it is "bacterial SSU rRNA". It matches the Rfam family "Bacterial small subunit ribosomal RNA", at positions 777 to 1319 of the family's 1533-position model. The record is from RNAcentral.
AAUAGAUACCCGGGUAGUCCACGCCGUAAACGAUGAGUGCUAAGUGUUGGGGGGUUUCCGCCCCUCAGUGCUGCAGCUAACGCAUUAAGCACUCCGCCUGGGGAGUACGGUCGCAAGACUGAAACUCAAAGGAAUUGACGGGGGCCCGCACAAGCGGUGGAGCAUGUGGUUUAAUUCGAAGCAACGCGAAGAACCUUACCAGGUCUUGACAUCCCGGUGACCACUAUGGAGACAUAGUUUCCCCUUCGGGGGCAACGGUGACAGGUGGUGCAUGGUUGUCGUCAGCUCGUGUCGUGAGAUGUUGGGUUAAGUCCCGCAACGAGCGCAACCCUUAUUCUUAGUUGCCAUCAUUCAGUUGGGCACUCUAAGGAGACUGCCGGUGAUAAACCGGAGGAAGGUGGGGAUGACGUCAAAUCAUCAUGCCCCUUAUGACCUGGGCUACACACGUGCUACAAUGGACAGUACAAACGGUUGCCAACCCGCGAGGGGGAGCUAAUCCGAUAAAACCGUUCUCAGUUCGGAUUGUAGGCUGCAACUCGCCUAC